This 116-nucleotide non-coding RNA is filed under the name Kocuria flava. RNAcentral's name for it is "SAM-IV sequence". It matches the Rfam family "SAM (S-adenosyl methionine) riboswitch aptamer". Rfam says of the family: SAM-IV is a mRNA element that regulates gene expression via direct sensing of S-adenosylmethionine (SAM or AdoMet). Lineage: Bacteria; Bacillati; Actinomycetota; Actinomycetes; Micrococcales; Micrococcaceae. The record is from Rfam by way of RNAcentral.
GAUGAUGAGACCCGACGCGAAGCUCUGGCUGGUCGGGCGGCAACCCUCUCCCGUAGCGGGGUGCCCCAGAUGAACAUCGGGCCGUGGCGUCAGGUGCGCCCCGGCAAGUACGGCGC